UACAGAGGGGGCAAGCGUUGUUCGGAAUUACUGGGCGUAAAGGGCGCGUAGGCGGCCUUCUAAGUCGAACGUGAAAUCCCCGGGCUCAACCCGGGAACUGCGUCCGAGACUGGAAGGCUUGAAUCCGGGAGAGGGAUGUGGAAUUCCAGGUGUAGCGGUGAAAUGCGUAGAUAUCUGGAAGAACACCCGUGGCGAAAGCGGCUCUCUGGAACGGUACUGACGCUGAGACGCGAAAGCGUGGGGAGCAAACAGG
RNAcentral lists this ribosomal RNA (253 nucleotides) under uncultured bacterium. RNAcentral's name for it is "partial 16S ribosomal RNA". It matches the Rfam family "Bacterial small subunit ribosomal RNA", at positions 524 to 776 of the family's 1533-position model. The record is from RNAcentral.